UAUCUCUGUAGAGUCUGCAUAUCAAUAAGCGGAGGAAAAGAAACUAACUAGGAUUCCCUUAAGUAACGGCGAGUGAAGCGGGAAGAGCUCAAAUUUGAAAUCUUCAAGGUUCUACCUUGACGAAUUGUAGUUUAUAGAAGUGUUUUCUGUUGGAGUUUCGGUAAAAGUUCUUUGGAAUAGGACAUCAUAGAGGGUGAGAAUCCCGUAUUUGACCGUUAUUUUCAGCUGUGUGAUACACUUUCAAAGAGUCGGAUUGUUUGGGAAUGCAGUCCAAAAUGGGUGGUAAAUUUCAUCUAAAGCUAAAUAUUGGCGAGAGACCGAUAGCGAACAAGUACCGUGAGGGAAAGAUGAAAAGAACUUUGAAAAGAGAGUUAAACAGUACGUGAAAUUGUCAAAAGGGAAGCGUUUGACACCAGUGUUGUUUAGUUGAAAAUCAAUUCAAUAAUUUUUGAUUUUAAGUAGUAUUGACUUCAUCAGCUUGCUGCUUUCUUUUCAGGAAUUAUUGAAUGCACUUUUCAGUUAACAAGUCAACAUCAAUUUCUUUUGUUGUAAAAGGGUAAGAGGAAGGUGGCUUACGCUUCGGCGUAAGUGUUUAUAGCCUUUUACCUCUGCAAUCGGAGAGAUUGAGGACAGCAGCGUAGACUCUUCGGGGUUAGAUACACUUGUGCUAAGCUAUAGCCUUGUAUAGACAACUUGUUGACUAUGCUCAGUCAUGUAGCUUACUCGCUUGUGCUAUUUUACCUACGCUUAGGAUGUUGAACGCGCACAGAGUCUC
RNAcentral lists this ribosomal RNA (775 nucleotides) under uncultured Neocallimastigales. RNAcentral's name for it is "partial large subunit ribosomal RNA". It matches the Rfam family "Eukaryotic large subunit ribosomal RNA", at positions 24 to 611 of the family's 3401-position model. Lineage: Eukaryota; Fungi; Neocallimastigomycota; Neocallimastigomycetes; Neocallimastigales. The record is from RNAcentral.